This is a long non-coding RNA of Coturnix japonica (Japanese quail), 2230 nucleotides long. NCBI's taxonomy places the organism in Eukaryota, Metazoa, Chordata, Aves, Galliformes, Phasianidae. The record is from Ensembl.
GGUUCUCAUUUGAAAACUUUAACACUAUACGUUUUAUUUAUGUUCGCUUUUCAGGUUAUUUAUCUGUAUUAAGCAUUUAAUAUUCUUGGGCAAAUCACUAUUUGGUUUAAAUCUGUAGCUUUUCUGGUUUCAUUGGUGCUCUGUCAGUGUACCUCAACAGAAGUUAUAAACCACAAUACUUUAUUGCAAGGACAGUCUCAGAAAAUAAUAAAGCACCUCAUCAGAAGCCCGUAAGGUGUUCUGGAGACAUUUACUGAAUAAGCUAUAUUUUGCCCACUUGGGAUAGACAAACAUGCAGACAUUCAGAGUUGUUUUGUUAAUGAGUUGUUUCAAGGGAAGAGAACUACUUUUUUAGAGGAAAUGAUUAAAAUGUCUUAAAAAAGCAGUUCUAAAGCAAUUACUGAAGUUAACAGGGUUGUCCACUUGACCAUAACUUCUCUUAGCAUGCACAAACUCCUAUCUAACCACCUGCCGAAUUCCAAAGGUGUGAUAAAAAUACUUUGAUGGGGAGGAUAAGAUAAACAUUAGAAUGUUUACAGCCUAUUGCUUUUUAAGUCCUAGAUCAGAUUCACUUCAUUGACAUAGACUCAACCAGGGGGAGUAAAGAUACAAAUUAGUGAUCUGAGGAAUAGUUAUGGAAUGUUCUUUGUGUAAGCCUUAUUUAUAAAUAUACUGUUUUAAACAUUUCAGUAGAGCAUUGUAGAUGAAGUCUAUUUAAAAUAAAUUGAAUAAUAAAUUGAAUACCACUGGUAUAGAUGUAGAUUAUAUGAGUGACCUAAUUAUUCUGAUAUAUUUUGUUAAAAUUUGUAGUAACUACAAUCCUGAAGUUUUUCUAAAACUGAAAACAUUUUUAUGUAUGAAGUGAGAUGUAUUUAUAUAUGACACUGAUUGAUUUUUAAGGCCCUUCUUCUAUAGACCAAGAGGGAUGAAAAAGUCUGACAUCACAUCUAGAAGUUUACUACCAUCUUUGGAAUGAUUCCAAUGUCAGAAGUCACAGCAAUGGUGGAGUUGCUAUUGAUGUUCUCAGUCCUGUUUAAUCUUGGUCAUUCUUCACUUCAUACAAUAUUUUAUCUUUCCUAUCAUGGUGAGUCACAUACCUAUUACCUCCCAUCACUUUCACCUUGUGAUUUCUGCUUCAUUAAAGGAUUCGUGUAUUCAUCAAAUUUAGUAACUGGACUUACUUUGGCCAGUGACACAGGCAGUUUUGACAAAUGCUCCAAUAAGGGUUAAUCGCAACAGACGUAAGAAACAGAGUGCAAUUGUUAAAAACAUUUAUCAACAACUUUGCUGUGCUUUGCCCAACAAAAUUGAUAUUAAUGAGAUGCUUUGUAAAUAUUGCAUGCUACAUGAACUGCUUAGGAUUAUUUCUUUUUCCCUAUGAAACAAAUCAGUUCUAAUUAAAAAUUAAAACACAAUUAUUUCACCCUGUCUUUGAGAUGUUACAUUUGAAAUUAUAAUAUUUGUUUCUGUUAUGGUUUUGUAAUUUUGCUAUUGGUAUUCCACAUCAUAACAUCAUGUACAGCACGGGUAAUUAAAGAGUUAAUACUCCAGUUCCAUGGAUUGACAACUUUCCAGAUACCUGCUUCUCAAAAGAGAAGAACUACAUAUCCCAGGGGACCUCAUGGUCAGAGGAGGAAGAUAUGUCACAGAAGUCACAGGAUCUUGUUCUUGGAUGGGAUCUCUCUCUCUCUUUCACUGGCAGAGGGUGCAGGUGUGCAUCCAAGCUGUGCGCCUUCAUUCAAGUAGGCCUUACCAUUUUGGAAGCUCUUUUAUUUUAUUUAUUAUCCUCAACUUCAAUUAGGUUGUAUUAUAUUGUGUUAUCUUGCAUCCUGAUAUAAAAGUUGGUAAAAUAAGCCUUCCUCCUCAGAUUGUUGCCGCUGCUCUUUUUCUCUCUCUGAGCCCAGCUCCCAUUACCCUACUCCUUUCCCUUUUCCCUUCCUAUUUUUGGGAGCCAGGAGGUCCACAGGCCUACUGCCCCCCUGUCACAGGCAUAGACUGAUAUAGAUAACUCUGACAGUUUCUGAAGUGCUCAGUGGUGACUUAUCCACAAACUCCAUGUUUCCCUUUUGGGUCUUUCAUUAUCACCCUGAGAUUUAGAAGGGUAUUCCUCUUGCUGAAAAUUUUGCCCAGUCUUUGAAUUCACAGAAUUAGUACUUGAUUGACUGCUGAUGACUUUAGAAGAGAAUAGGGGAGUACCAUGCGUUCAAAGGUUUUCUUGCAAAUCACAUCU